CAUCCCCGUCGCCGCACGGCCGCAGCUUCGGGCCAGCUGACAUCAUGGGGCUCCGCUAAGGAGGUUUCCGUCCGGGCGCCGCCUGCUUGGGCUAUGCGGCCACGGCGGCGAGGAUCCUCUGCAGGCACCGGGCGCGCGCCACUCAGGGUCAGGGCAGGCUCCCACCCAGGAGGGCACGGCGCUUCCGCUCGCCGCCAGCUCCCUGCCAGCCUAGCGGGCGCAAACCGGAGGCGGCGACCCGGUUGCGGGUCGCGGGCCGGUCGGCACGCGCUCACGCACGCGCGCACGCAGACCUGGAGCGGCGGCAGGCGCGGGCGCGGCGAGCGGGGGCACCUGGCCACCCUUGGUCCCCGCAGGGCCGCGCCCCGCAGCCAGCAUUCGCAUGCGUGUGUUAGGAUAGGAUCAUUCUGAGAAGGGGACACCUCGAGGCCACGGUGGGCUCUGGAGGUGCAGAGGGCUUCAUGUGAUGCUAUGUGCAUCUGCUGUGCUGGCAACUGGAAGAGUUGUAUCUGGCUCUGCUGGCUCUACAAAGAGAGAAGUGGAUAUGGAGCAAUUCAUCCUGGGCACCAACUUGUGGGGCAGAUGGUAGCAUGCUCCCACAUCAGGCUAAUUCUUGACUACUCCUCAGCUACUCCUUCAAACACAGAAAAGAAAUACUGGUAAGAGGCGAACUUUCAGCUGGAACUCUUUACAGCUCCCUCAGGACAUCGGAGUGUAAAACAGAAGAGAGAGACACAUAACUCACCAGUGUCAGAGGGAAUUGUUCCACAUGUAGCUGUAGAUUUGAUGUGCACAGGAGGAAGUGAACUCAGUUUCUUUUUACACCACCAUUUUGGACAGACUCUUCCUACCAUGCCCUUGAUUUUGCUAUUCUCUCUACUUGAAAUGCCUCCCCCAGAAAGAAGAAUUCUUCAAUUCUUCGGGCAAGUAUCUCCCCAUCUGCAAGGUAUUUCCUGUGCUCCCUCCACAUUGCCUUUCUGUUAACAAUAUUUUGUUGAAGACACUACAGCAUCUGUAUUUCAGUAUAGUUACUUACAGUUUUAUGUACACCGAAUUUCAGUAUACAUUUUAUUACUGUGUUAGCAUUCUAGCUGGACUGUAAGCUUCCUGAGGAAAGAGAUUGUCUUCUUCUUUUAUCCUAACAUAUGACUCUGAGUCAAGCUAAUUGUUCAGGAAGGGGCUGAUAGAGAGGAAGGGAAUAGCUUUCAUUAAGCACUUUAUAUGUGUCUGACAUGUACUACACAGUUCAUCAUUUCUAAUUUAAUCCCUACAACAAGCCAACAGAAUAUUAAGAUGUUAAUAUCUCCAUUUUACAGAUGAGGAAACAGGUUCAGAGAGGUUAAGCAAUGUUAGGUGCCCCAAAUCUCCUUAUUUUCUGGGCCAUCUUUUUUGAAAGAAAACUGUAUUUCCAGAUAUUUUCACUGCUUCACUUCCUCCACUUUCCUCAUUUAAUUCCUCAUGCAACUGGUUCUGACUUCUGCCCACACCUCUGUACCCACACUACUUUACAAAGCUCAAUAAUUAAGUUCAUAUUGUGAAAUCCAGUGAGUCAUUUUCAGUACUUUCUGCCACAUUUGCCAUUGCUGACCAUUCCAC
Long non-coding RNA from Lutra lutra (Eurasian river otter), 1596 nucleotides. RefSeq lists it as uncharacterized. The transcript is spliced from 4 exons. The record is from RefSeq and is a predicted model, not a curated record. Lineage: Eukaryota; Metazoa; Chordata; Mammalia; Carnivora; Mustelidae.